UACGGGGGGGGCAAGCGUUGUUCGGAAUUACUGGGCGUAAAGGGCUCGUAGGCGGCCAACUAAGUCGGACGUGAAAUCCCUCGGCUUAACCGGGGAACUGCGUCUGAUACUGGAUGGCUUGAGUGUGGGAGAGGGAUGCGGAAUUCCAGGUGUAGCGGUGAAAUGCGUAGAUAUCUGGAGGAACACCGGUGGCGAAGGCGGCAUCCUGGACCACGACUGACGCUGAGUGAGCGAAAGCCAGGGGAGCAAACGGG
This 254-nucleotide ribosomal RNA is filed under the name uncultured bacterium. RNAcentral describes it as "partial 16S ribosomal RNA". It matches the Rfam family "Bacterial small subunit ribosomal RNA", at positions 524 to 776 of the family's 1533-position model. The record is from RNAcentral.